UUCAAAUUCCAUAUUAUUUACCUCAUUAAAUAAUCUCGAGUUUCUUUACUCGAUAGCAAUUUCUUUACACGAUUCAUCUUGUCACGUUCUUCUCUUUCUUUCUCCUGUCUUUUCUAGUAAAUUGAUUCUCUUUCAAACAAAACCAACCGAAGACGUUACAUAGAUUCGAGUAAAACAACUUCGAAAGAAUAAUGGAUAUCAGUAUCAGUCUAGUUAUAUAAACGAUUAGCAUAAUGGAUUUGGACAUUAACCGAAAACUAUUUCAUAAGAGCUUUGAGACGAUAAAAUUUGGCUGUAUAUCAAAAAAGGAUGAUACAAAAUGUACAACUAUAAUUCAAAAACGCUUGCCUAUAAUAUGCAAAUUAACAGAUCUAUAUAUCGUAUUGUAAUUGCAAUAGAUAUAAUUUAUGAAACAAAUGUGUAAUGCGAAACCUUGAACUUUCAAUGAUACUACAAUUUGUUAG
RNAcentral lists this unclassified non-coding RNA (464 nucleotides) under Bombus terrestris (buff-tailed bumblebee). RNAcentral's name for it is "misc RNA ENSBTSG00005025251.1". Lineage: Eukaryota; Metazoa; Arthropoda; Insecta; Hymenoptera; Apidae. The record is from RNAcentral.